RNAcentral lists this ribosomal RNA (475 nucleotides) under uncultured bacterium. Its description in RNAcentral is "bacterial SSU rRNA". It matches the Rfam family "Bacterial small subunit ribosomal RNA", at positions 30 to 523 of the family's 1533-position model. The record is from RNAcentral.
AUUGAACGCUGGCGGCAUGCCUUACACAUGCAAGUCGAACGGCAGCACGGGAGCAAUCCUGGUGGCGAGUGGCGAACGGGUGAGUAAUAUAUCGGAACGUGCCCAGUCGUGGGGAUAACGUAGCGAAAGCUACGCUAAUACCGCAUACGAUCUAUGGAUGAAAGCGGGGGAUCGCAAGACCUCGCGCGAUUGGAGCGGCCGAUAUCAGAUUAGGUAGUUGGUGAGGUAAAGGCUCACCAAGCCAACGAUCUGUAGCUGGUCUGAGAGGACGACCAGCCACACUGGAACUGAGACACGGUCCAGACUCCUACGGGAGGCAGCAGUGGGGAAUUUUGGACAAUGGGCGAAAGCCUGAUCCAGCAAUGCCGCGUGAGUGAUGAAGGCCUUAGGGUUGUAAAGCUCUUUUUACCCGAGAUGAUAAUGACAGUAUCGGGAGAAUAAGCUCCGGCUAACUCCGUGCCAGCAGCCGCGGUAA